AAUAUUGUUUCAGUCCCGCUCUUCCCCCUCCCUAUCUUUUUCACUGACGGCCUCUCCUAUCUUUUCCAUGUUAUCUGCACUUUCCUUCACACAUGGAUCUGAUCAAUUUUAUAACUGCCGUAUUGUUUGGCCGUUAAAACCCUCUGCCAACCUCAUCUCUCAGUUUGCUUCAACAACGAAUGAACCAGAAACCUCUAAAGCUAAAGCAUUAGACCAUCUGCCACGGUAAGCCAAAAAGCCAAAUAUGGGGUAUAAUUCACUCCCAUCGUAAGCCAUAUUCAAUAAGGAUUUACCUUACCAUAGCAGAUGCUCUUACAGAAGGUCGAGGAUAAGUCCGAAGUUGCCAGGGUGUACCAAAUUUCCUAUGCAAGAUUAAUUUUGCCGUAGUGUUUUCUUAGAGAUAAUAUGUAAUUCAUGCUGUAGUGCUAAAAAUGUUUCUUUGAUGAUUAUUUAGGCAUUGAAGGAAAGUGUUCUCCAUCAAAUAUGUGAGGCAAAGCCAUUGGCUUUGAUCAUUGAUUGGAAUUCACUCCUGUCUAACAAAAAGAAGACAAUUGUGAUGUAUUUUGUCAUUGCAUAAACUGUGACAUGAUUGUGUAAGGAUUGCAUAAUCUGAACUUUAACUUGCAGCAUAGCCCUAGCAAAGUUUGUACCAGAAUCACGGGGCACACUGAAUUUUAAGUUUGGAACUUCUUCUGGAGCUGUAUCUUAGCCUUGAGAACUUUAUAGUUAGAAACUUGUAUGUGAUAACAGUCUAUUGGGAUGGAAUGGGUUAUGUAAUACUGUAUUGGGUUUGAUUUAUAGUACUCAUA
Long non-coding RNA from Rosa chinensis, 809 nucleotides. RefSeq lists it as uncharacterized. NCBI's taxonomy places the organism in Eukaryota, Viridiplantae, Streptophyta, Magnoliopsida, Rosales, Rosaceae. The record is from RefSeq and is a predicted model, not a curated record. The transcript is spliced from 3 exons.